CUACGGGUGGCUGCAGUGAGGAAUAUCGCACAAUGGGGGGAACCCUGAUGCAGCAACGCCGCGUGGAGGAUAACGCAUUUCGGUGUGUAAACUCCUUUUAUAUGUCAAGAAAAUGACGGUAGCAUAUGAAUAAGCACCGGCUAACUCCGUGCCAGCAGCCGCGGUAAUACGGAGGGUGCAAGCGUUACUCGGAAUCACUGGGCGUAAAGGACGCGUAGGCGGGUUGGAAAGUCAGGUGUGAAAUCCUACAGCUUAACUGUAGAACUGCACUUGAAACUUCUAAUCUAGAGUAUGGAGGGGGAGAUGGAAUUAGUGGUGUAGGGGUAAAAUCCGUAGAUAUCACUAGGAAUACCUAAAGCGAAGGCGAUCUCCUGGAACAUUACUGACGCUAAGGCGUGAAAGCGUGGGGAGCAAACAGGAUUAGAUACCCUUGUAGUC
RNAcentral lists this ribosomal RNA (438 nucleotides) under uncultured bacterium. RNAcentral describes it as "partial 16S ribosomal RNA". It matches the Rfam family "Bacterial small subunit ribosomal RNA", at positions 339 to 795 of the family's 1533-position model. The record is from RNAcentral.